Long non-coding RNA from Arachis duranensis, 1366 nucleotides. RefSeq lists it as uncharacterized. The record is from RefSeq and is a predicted model, not a curated record. The transcript has 2 exons. Lineage: Eukaryota; Viridiplantae; Streptophyta; Magnoliopsida; Fabales; Fabaceae.
UCAGCUGCUUGCUACCUUGGCUUCUUCCUCUUCACGAUGACCCUCCGCUUCUUCCUCUACCCUCUUCCUCACCAGGAACCUUCUUCCUCUUUUUUUGUGGAUACAUAAUGACUAUGGACUCCAUCUCUUCCUGCUCACUGUUGAUGAGGGCAUCACCGGCUACAAUGAUGACUCCCUUGAAACUGUUCACAGAAACCAAAUUCAUUAUGGAUUGCCUCUCAAGGUUGUCUCUUCCAAGAAACUCUAUGGUUGCAUAAGCCUCUUCAGUUCUUCCGAGAUCCUCCUCGGCGCCAUGAUUCUCCCUGCUCUUCUACUAUCUUGACGCAAUUAUCAAAAGGAUUCUCAAUUUAUUCUGCUGCACUUCACUUCACUUCGCUUUUUGGAUUGGGGUUUAGGGUUUGGCUUGUGCACCCAUCUUAUACGGUGCCCCUUUUUAACUCAAUUGAAGUGGUAAACUUUUUCCUUUUAAUAUUCUCUUUUCUCAUCAUUCAGAGUUUCUUCGUUUGCUUUUCUCUGCUAAUGGCUUGUCGGCGAUGAUUAUUGUUUCCAAUGGAGGAAAGUGGAUUACUUUUGGAAUUGAAGUUAGUUUCAGCCAUGGCUCUUGAUAAGCUCCUAGUUAAAGGAAACUACAUUGGAAGCGUCAACUUCCUCUUUUCUGGAGAAGGAAAGGGAACUGCAGUCUAAAAUUGAGGAACUGGAGGACAAGGUUGAGAAAGUCAGUCAGAGCAUUGCACUGCAAAAGAGACAUAAUAAUUAAGUACGUAGAGUAUGUUAAGAAAUUGGGACUAAUUCUAUUUGAAUUGCUUUCUGAAGCAUUAGGCCUUAAUCCCAAUUACCUUAAGGACAUAGAUUGUGCAGAAAGGCUUUUCAUGCUUAAUCAUUAUUACCCUCCUUAUCCUGAGCCUGAACACUCACUCUGGGAACAAGUGGUCAUUGGGAUUCUAGCUUCCUCUUCUCCUACAAGACCAAGUUGGUGGACUUCAAUUUUUCUAUGAAAACAAGUGGAGUGAUACAAAUUGUUUUAUCAAGUUAUGAAUAGAAGAGUUCAAGAGGAUCAAUCUUCACCAAAUAUUAUUCCUGUUCACUAUUUUAUACACCAAAUAUUAUUCCUAUUCACUUAUUUUUUUUAAUGAAAACUUUUUUGUGAGCUUAUGGAGUUUUGGUGUACAAGUUUGAUAUGAACAAGGCUUCUCAGUUGAUGUGUUGAUACUUGGUGCCUCAUAAAUUAGAUAUCAUUCCAUCACACAUAUGUAAUUUAAGUGUAUCAGAGCAUCAUCCAACAGAAAUUUGAGUUACUGAAUAUUGUGCGGUUAAAAGCCAACAAUAGUGAGCAUUUUUUUCAACUCAAUAAACUCAACUAAUCAUA